GAAAUGCGAUAAUUUAUGUGAAUUGCAGAACCCUGUGAAUCAUCGAAUCCUUGAACGCAAAUUGCACUCUUGGGACCUCCUGAGAGUGUGCCUGUUUGAGUGUCGGUAAUUUUUCAAAAAACAAUCACAUUUAUUUGUGUAAAUGGUUAUUCGAAAAUAAAUUCUCUCUAUUUUCGAUAAACUAAAGUAAAUUAUGUUUGGUUAAUAAAAUAUGAAUAUAUUUUAUUUAAACCUCAGAAAGAAUUACUAAUAAACUAACCCAAGUGGUUUCUAUUUUUUUCAAUAAAAAAAUAUGAAUUCCUUGGUUAAUUUAUUUUUCUUUUUUGAGGUAUAAAUAUAUAUAUAUUUUUUAUUAACUCUUUACCAAGAUAAUAUUCUGAUAUGGAUGGAAAUAUCAUCAUCUAUAUUAGAAAAUUAUUUUAAAAAACAAAAAUCUCGACCUCAAAUUAGGCAAGAUUACCCGCUGAAUUUAAGC
Molecule: unclassified non-coding RNA, 475 nt
Filed under: plant metagenome
Description: partial contains 5.8S ribosomal RNA, internal transcribed spacer 2, and large subunit ribosomal RNA
Rfam family: 5.8S ribosomal RNA (bases 1-105)
Source: RNAcentral